Long non-coding RNA from Gallus gallus (chicken), 629 nucleotides. Lineage: Eukaryota; Metazoa; Chordata; Aves; Galliformes; Phasianidae. The record is from Ensembl.
GGUCCUUGAGUACCUGAGGCCUUCCAAAGCUUUUUCAGCAUCCCUGUGGCUGUGGGCUGUGAUGAAGAAGAUGGUGUAUGAGUUCAUGAGAGCCCGUUUCUUCAUUUUCAAUCCCUUGUGACUGGCAGUGACAGAGCCUGAUGUGGGCUAUGGAGGGACUGCAGGUGGUAGAGCUGCUCUGCAAAGUGCUGGCAAGAGGCUUCUCUCCUGCACUCAGAGGGAAAAGCACAGUGGGAUAGUGAACCCAAUCAAGUGGAAGAGCUGCUCCAGCUUGUCCCAAACCCGAGGAUGGAUGAGCCUACACUUCCCACUGAAAUCUAUCAGCUGUCCUCGCCCGACCCCAGCCUUGUCCAGGGACACGCUGUGUGCUGGUGGAUGUCUGCUGAUAUUUUCAAAUAGCCAGAAUUCAUUCAGAAUAGCACAGGGUCAGCAGGGUUCAUCCCUACACCUGCCCAACAGCCCCUCUCCUCCCUCGCCCAUCCAUGGACCAUUCCUGGUGCCUGUGCCAGGACAAAGAUGCACAGCGACGAACGGCUGCUUCUAUUUUGCCUAGAACAGAAGUUCAUGAACUUCUGCUAUCGUUCAAGUAUGAUUUAAUUAAAACAUCAUGCCUUACACAACCAUCUCCC